CAGCUUUGUUUUUAUUUUUUUAAAUUUUUUAUUUAGGAUAGUCACACAGAGAGAGAGAGAGAGGCAGACACACAGGCAGAAGGAGAAGCAGGCUCCAUGCACCGGGAGCCCGGCAAGGGAUUCGAUCCCGGGUCUCCAGGAUCGCGCCCUGGGCCAAAGGCAGGCGCCAAACCGCUGCGCCACCCAGGGAUCCCUGAGCUUUGUUUUUAAAAUGCAUAUGAUGACUACAAGAAAACAUCAAAAAAGGAGUGUCUCAGUGGUUAUGUGGCUCCCACAUUCCUUGUCCUUGUGCUCCCACUUUAGAAAGAUGUAG
This 313-nucleotide long non-coding RNA is filed under the name Canis lupus familiaris (dog). RNAcentral describes it as "lncRNA (ENSCAFG00845025430.1)". Lineage: Eukaryota; Metazoa; Chordata; Mammalia; Carnivora; Canidae. The record is from RNAcentral.